AUUGAACGCUGGCGGCAUGCUUUACACAUGCAAGUCGAACGGCAGCGCGGGCUUCGGCCUGGCGGCGAGUGGCGAACGGGUGAGUAAUGCAUCGGAACGUGCCCAGUAGUGGGGGAUAGCCCGGCGAAAGCCGGAUUAAUACCGCAUACGACCUGAGGGUGAAAGCGGGGGACCGAAAGGCCUCGCGCUAUUGGAGCGGCCGAUGUCGGAUUAGCUAGUUGGUGGGGUAAAGGCUUACCAAGGCGACGAUCCGUAGCUGGUCUGAGAGGACGACCAGCCACAAUGGGAAUUGGACACCGCCCAGGCUCCUGAGGGAGGGAGCAGUUGGGAAUUUUGGAAAAUGGGGGGAACCCUGAUCCAAGCAAGGCGGGGGCGGGGAAAAGGGCCUCGGGUUGGAAACCGGUUUUUUUCGGGGAGAAAUCCUUUGGGCUAAUACCCCGGGGGGGUGACGGUACCGGAAGAAUAAGCACCGGCUAACUACGUG
Molecule: ribosomal RNA, 484 nt
Filed under: uncultured bacterium
Lineage: Bacteria
Description: partial 16S ribosomal RNA
Rfam family: Bacterial small subunit ribosomal RNA
Source: RNAcentral